RNAcentral lists this ribosomal RNA (626 nucleotides) under Salmonella enterica subsp. enterica serovar Newport. RNAcentral describes it as "partial 23S ribosomal RNA". It matches the Rfam family "Bacterial large subunit ribosomal RNA", at positions 563 to 1190 of the family's 2925-position model. The record is from RNAcentral. Lineage: Bacteria; Pseudomonadati; Pseudomonadota; Gammaproteobacteria; Enterobacterales; Enterobacteriaceae.
CGUACAAGCAGUGGGAGCACCCUUUGGGGUGUGACUGCGUACCUUUUGUAUAAUGGGUCAGCGACUUAUAUUCUGUAGCAAGGUUAACCGAAUAGGGGAGCCGGAGGGAAACCGAGUCUUAAUUGGGCGUUAAGUUGCAGGGUAUAGACCCGAAACCCGGUGAUCUAGCCAUGGGCAGGUUGAAGGUUGGGUAACACUAACUGGAGGACCGAACCGACUAAUGUUGAAAAAUUAGCGGAUGACCUGUGGCUGGGGGUGAAAGGCCAAUCAAACCGGGAGAUAGCUGGUUCUCCCCGAAAGCUAUUUAGGUAGCGCCUCGUGAAUUCAUCUCCGGGGGUAGAGCACUGUUUCGGCUAGGGGGCCAUCCCGGCUUACCAACCCGAUGCAAACUGCGAAUACCGGAGAAUGUUAUCACGGGAGACACACGGCGGGUGCUAACGUCCGUCGUGAAGAGGGAAACAACCCAGACCGCCAGCUAAGGUCCCAAAGUCAUGGUUAAGUGGGAAACGAUGUGGGAAGGCCCAGACAGCCAGGAUGUUGGCUUAGAAGCAGCCAUCAUUUAAAGAAAGCGUAAUAGCUCACUGGUCGAGUCGGCCUGCGCGGAAGAUGUAACGGGGCUAAACCAU